CGGCGGCACUAGGGAAGCGCGGCGGCGGCAGGUGGAGAUGCGGCUACAGCGCGACUGGAGAGAGGCGCGGCGGUGGCGGGUGGAGAUGCAGCGGCAGUGGCGCGACUGGAGAGAGGCGCGGCGGCGGCGCGACGGGAGAGAGGCGCGACCACGGCGGCGCGAUUGGGCGAGGCGCGGCGGCGGCGGCCGAGCGGAAGCUAGGGUUGUAACCUAAAAACUGAUACCAUGUAUGCUGAUGGAAUUGCACGAUGUAUUGAUCAGGUGCAGCCGCACGUAUAUAUGAUGUAUAAGGUGGGCCACGACCUCAACUAUACAAAACUAGGAGGUGUUCGGGCCAAAUACACAAUAUGCACACCAAAUACACAAUAUGCACAGAACAC
Molecule: long non-coding RNA, 380 nt
Filed under: Hordeum vulgare
Lineage: Eukaryota; Viridiplantae; Streptophyta; Magnoliopsida; Poales; Poaceae
Description: long non-coding RNA (HVUL_LNC020843)
Source: RNAcentral